AAGACUGUUUCCAGGGUCAAAGUUAUCUAUUUAUCCACAGAACAGGUAAAGCAAAGGAAGCAGAACUGCAAACUUCCCUACAUGCCCAAAUGCAACUCACUCAUGCCUUUCAGUGACCAACUCUACAUAUGAGCGGGUAGUAUGCUCCUCAUAAUUAUUCACACUCUGGCCUUU
Molecule: small RNA, 174 nt
Filed under: Gopherus agassizii (Agassiz's desert tortoise)
Lineage: Eukaryota; Metazoa; Chordata; Testudines; Testudinidae
Description: TUC338 (ENSGAGG00000020961.1)
Source: RNAcentral